GUCCACGCCCUAAACGAUGAUGACUAGUUGUUGGAGGAGUUAAAUCCUUUAGUAACGCAGCUAACGCGUGAAGUCAUCCGCCUGGGGAGUACGGUCGCAAGAUUAAAACUCAAAGGAAUUGACGGGGGCCCGCACAAGCGGUGGAUGAUGUGGUUUAAUUCGAUGCAACGCGAAAAACCUUACCUACCCUUGACAUGCUAGGAACGCUGCAGAGAUGCAGCGGUGCCCGAAAGGGAACCUAGACACAGGUGCUGCAUGGCUGUCGU
RNAcentral lists this ribosomal RNA (266 nucleotides) under uncultured bacterium. RNAcentral's name for it is "partial 16S ribosomal RNA". It matches the Rfam family "Bacterial small subunit ribosomal RNA", at positions 793 to 1055 of the family's 1533-position model. The record is from RNAcentral.